This 465-nucleotide ribosomal RNA is filed under the name Vreelandella stevensii. Its description in RNAcentral is "partial 16S ribosomal RNA". It matches the Rfam family "Bacterial small subunit ribosomal RNA", at positions 338 to 795 of the family's 1533-position model. The record is from RNAcentral. Lineage: Bacteria; Pseudomonadati; Pseudomonadota; Gammaproteobacteria; Oceanospirillales; Halomonadaceae.
CCUACGGGAGGCUGCAGUGGGGAAUAUUGGACAAUGGGGGGAACCCUGAUCCAGCCAUGCCGCGUGUGUGAAGAAGGCCCUCGGGUUGUAAAGCACUUUCAGUGAGGAAGAACGCCUGGUGGUUAAUACCCAUCAGGAAAGACAUCACUCACAGAAGAAGCACCGGCUAACUCCGUGCCAGCAGCCGCGGUAAUACGGAGGGUGCGAGCGUUAAUCGGAAUUACUGGGCGUAAAGCGCGCGUAGGUGGCUUGAUAAGCCGGUUGUGAAAGCCCCGGGCUCAACCUGGGAACGGCAUCCGGAACUGUCAAGCUAGAGUGCAGGAGAGGAAGGUAGAAUUCCCGGUGUAGCGGUGAAAUGCGUAGAGAUCGGGAGGAAUACCAGUGGCGAAGGCGGCCUUCUGGACUGACACUGACACUGAGGUGCGAAAGCGUGCGUAGCAAACAGGAUUAGAUACCCUGGUAGUC